AUACGGAGGAUGCGAGCGUUAUCCGGAUUUAUUGGGUUUAAAGGGAGCGUAGGCGGGAGCUUAAGUCAGCGGUUAAAUGGUGCGGCUCAACCGUGCCCUGCCGUUGAAACUGGGUUUCUUGAGAGUGCAAGAGGCGGAUGGAAUUCAUGGUGUAGCGGGGGAAUGCUUAGAUAUCAUGAAGAACUCCGAUCGCGAAGGCAGCCUUCCGGCCCGUCAACGACGCUCAUGCUCGAAGGUGCGGGUAUCAAACAGGAUUAGAUACCCUGGUAGUCCGCACAGUAAACGAUGGACACCCGCGGUUUGGCCUAUAUGGCUGAGCCGCCAAGCGAAAGCGUUAAGUGUCCCACCUGGGGAGUACGCCGGCAACGGUGAAACUCAAAUGAAUUGACGGGG
RNAcentral lists this ribosomal RNA (393 nucleotides) under uncultured bacterium. RNAcentral's name for it is "partial 16S ribosomal RNA". It matches the Rfam family "Bacterial small subunit ribosomal RNA", at positions 523 to 918 of the family's 1533-position model. The record is from RNAcentral.